Molecule: ribosomal RNA, 450 nt
Filed under: uncultured bacterium
Lineage: Bacteria
Description: partial 16S ribosomal RNA
Rfam family: Bacterial small subunit ribosomal RNA
Source: RNAcentral
GUGGGGAAUAUUGGACAAUGGGCGAAAGCCUGAUCCAGCCAUGCCGCGUGUGUGAAGAAGGUCUUCGGAUUGUAAAGCACUUUAAGUUGGGAGGAAGGGCAGUAAGUUAAUACCUUGCUGUUUUGACGUUACCGACAGAAUAAGCACCGGCUAACUUCGUGCCAGCAGCCGCGGUAAUACGAAGGGUGCAAGCGUUAAUCGGAAUUACUGGGCGUAAAGCGCGCGUAGGUGGUUUUGUAAGUUGGAGGUGAAAUCCCCGGGCUCAACCUGGGAACUGCCUCCAAAACUGCAUGACUAGAGUACGGGAGAGGGUAGUGGAAUUUCCUGUGUAGCGGUGAAAUGCGUAGAUAUAGGAAGGAACACCAGUGGCGAAGGCGACUACCUGGACUGAUACUGACACUGAGGUGCGAAAGCGUGGGGAGCAAACAGGAUUAGAAACCCGUGUAGUCC